CCCUUUAUAGCUCAGUUGGUAGAGCGGAGGACUGUAAUGAUUAAUUGUCAUCCUUAGGUCACUUGUUCGAAUCAGGUUGAAGGGA
This is a transfer RNA of Absidia repens, 85 nucleotides long. It matches the Rfam family "tRNA". From Rfam's summary of the family: Transfer RNA (tRNA) molecules are approximately 80 nucleotides in length. Their secondary structure includes four short double-helical elements and three loops (D, anti-codon, and T loops). NCBI's taxonomy places the organism in Eukaryota, Fungi, Mucoromycota, Mucoromycetes, Mucorales, Cunninghamellaceae. The record is from Rfam.